GACGAACGCUGGCGGCGUGCUUAACACAUGCAAGUCGAACGGACUUAUUUUGAAGAAGUUUUCGGAUGGAUUCGGAAUAAGUUAGUGGCGGACGGGUGAGUAACGCGUGGGUAACCUACCCUUUUCAUGGGGACAACAGCUGGAAACGGCUGCUAAUACCGAGUAAGCUCCUUAGGUCGCAUGACCCGGGGAGGAAAGAUGGCGUAAGCUAUCGGAGAAGGAUGGACCCGCGUCUGAUUAGGUAGUUGGUGAGGUAACGGCUCACCAAGCCGACGAUCAGUAGCCGGCCUGAGAGGGUGGCCGGCCACAUUGGGACUGGAGACACGGCCCAAACUCCUACGGGAGGCUG
RNAcentral lists this ribosomal RNA (349 nucleotides) under uncultured Bacillota bacterium. RNAcentral's name for it is "bacterial SSU rRNA". It matches the Rfam family "Bacterial small subunit ribosomal RNA", at positions 28 to 351 of the family's 1533-position model. Lineage: Bacteria; Bacillati; Bacillota. The record is from RNAcentral.